RNAcentral lists this ribosomal RNA (438 nucleotides) under uncultured bacterium. Its description in RNAcentral is "partial 16S ribosomal RNA". It matches the Rfam family "Bacterial small subunit ribosomal RNA", at positions 339 to 795 of the family's 1533-position model. The record is from RNAcentral.
CUACGGGGCGCUGCAGUGAGGAAUAUUGCACAAUGGGGGAACCCUGAUGCAGCAACGCCGCGUGGAGGAUGACGCAUUUCGGUGUGUAAACUCCUUUUAUAUGUCAAGAAAAUGACGGUAGCAUAUGAAUAAGCACCGGCUAACUCCGUGCCAGCAGCCGCGGUAAUACGGAGGGUGCAAGCGUUACUCGGAAUCACUGGGCGUAAAGGACGCGUAGGCGGGUUGGAAAGUCAGGUGUGAAAUCCUACAGCUUAACUGUAGAACUGCACUUGAAACUUCUAAUCUAGAGUAUGGGAGGGGGAGAUGGAAUUAGUGGUGUAGGGGUAAUAUCCGUAGAUAUCACUAGGAAUACCUAAAGCGAAGGCGAUCUCCUGGAACAUUACUGACGCUAAGGCGUGAAAGCGUGGGGAGCAAACAGGAUUAGAUACCCUUGUAGUC